This 20785-nucleotide long non-coding RNA is filed under the name Triticum aestivum (bread wheat). RNAcentral describes it as "long non-coding RNA (TAES_LNC000263)". Lineage: Eukaryota; Viridiplantae; Streptophyta; Magnoliopsida; Poales; Poaceae. The record is from RNAcentral.
CCCCAGCAAGCUAUGAAGAUUUGGUUUAUGUCUAACAACUUGUACAACAAGAUAAACUUAGAUCCAAAAGGAUUGCAAUCCAGAUAAUUGUUUGACAUGUAAAGUCGAUAAGAUGAGUCAGUGCCAAUUAUCAUGUUUUCGUCACUCUUAGAUGAUAUGUACAAUAAAAGGCAACUUUGAUGACCACUCCAAAAUUACAUUUGUAUGUAGUGCCACCAAACACAACACACCAAAUAAUCAGUUUGAUAAGCAUCAAAUCACUUUAAAAAAAUAAAAGCUAUAAUGAAAAGAAACCUAACCAUGGUAGCUAUAAAAAGGAUGCAAUAUGUAGACUCCAUACCAUCAUCCAUCCUUCACACAACUAGAGCACAAGUAUCAAAUCCAAUUAAGUAGUAGCCAACACAAAUCCACCAUGAAGACCUUAUUCAUCCUAACAAUCCUUGCGAUGGCAACAACUAUCGCCACCGCGAAUAUGCAGGUCGACCCCAGCGGCCAAGUACAAUGGCCACAACAACAACCAUUCCGCCAGCCCCAACAACCAUUCUACCAGCAACCACAACACACAUUUCCCCAACCCCAACAAACAUUCCCCCAUCAACCACAACAACAAUUUCCCCAGCCCCAGCAACCACAACAACAAUUUCCGCAGCCCCAGCAACCACAACAACCAUUUCCCCAGCCCCAACAAGCCCAACUACCAUUUCCCCAACAACCACAACAACCAUUCCCCCAGCCUCAACAACCCCAACAACCAUUUCCCCAGUCACAGCAACCACAACAACCUUUUCCCCAGCCCCAACAACCGCAACAAUCAUUCCCCCAGCAACAACAACCGUUGAUUCAGCCAUAUCUACAACAACAGAUGAACCCUUGCAAGAAUUACCUCUUACAGCAAUGCAACCCUGUGUCAUUGGUGUCAUCCCUCGUGUCAAUGAUCUUGCCACGAAGUGAUUGCCAGGUGAUGCAGCAACAAUGUUGCCAACAACUAGCACAGAUUCCUCGCCAGCUCCAGUGUGCAGCCAUCCAUAGCGUCGUGCAUUCCAUCGUCAUGCAGCAAGAACAACAACAAGGCAUACAGAUCCUCCGGCCACUGUUUCAGCUCGUCCAAGGUCAGGGCAUCAUCCAACCUCAACAACCAGCUCAAUAUGAGGUGAUCAGGUCAUUGGUAUUGAGAACCCUUCCAAACAUGUGCAACGUGUAUGUCCGACCUGACUGCUCCACCAUCAACGCACCAUUUGCCAGCAUAGUCGCCGGCAUCAGUGGACAAUGAAAAAUGAAGAGUUAUGCUAAUAGGUAGAUGGAUCAUCGUUGCUUAGCUGAUGCACCAGUCUUUGUAGCGAUGAGGAAUAAAGUGGCGUGCACCAUCAUGUGUGACCCCGACCAGAGCUAGUUCAAGCUUCAGAAUAAAACACAAACAAAGUUCUUGUUUGCUAGCUUCGCUUUUCACUGUUCCAUUUACUUUUUAUUUUCAUGUUCGUUCCUAACCGCAAUCCUAGCCUUACACAUCAAUAGCUAGCUACUUCUGCUGGCAGGUUACUAUUUAAUCUAUCGAUUAAUGGUCGAUGUAUUAAUCCAGUUAAUAGGUUGAUUGAUAUAUUAGUUACUGCUCCCAAGCCGACCGAGCGCUAUCAGUUAGGGAUUUCCUGAACAUUGCACACAAUAAUAAUUCAAUGUAUUUCAAUGUCUAGAAGUGAAAGGGCCAUUUUAGCACCAAAACAAGAGGCUGAUUAGAAACCAUCCAUCACUCUAAAUGUUAAUCUGAAUAUUUUUGCAUUGGUGCAAUUUUGAGUUUGGUGGCACCGAAGCAUUCUUCAAAAGCAAAUUUUAGGGGACUCCAAAGAGGUGAAAAUCAAACCAAAGUUGCCACAUGGUAAAAGAUAAACCAUGCGGUGAGCAAGAGAAAAUAAUUAGUCACAAUAGCAAGAACCAAACACUUGAUAUGAUUUCGUGCGGAGAUGGAAACAAUUUAUAUAUGACAAACAAAGCAUAAGUUGCAUUAGUUUUAAUUGAUUGUAGAAAUUUAUUUUACCUGUAGAAUAACUCAGUUGUUAUCUCUUUAAACAUGCAUUGUGAUAUUGACUUGUCUCAAUCUAUGAACACAAAGCAAAUAUUGCAUUUGCGGUUAUGGUCUCCAAACAGAUGAGAAAUCAGUCUGUGUAGAAAGUUCCUUAGAAGGAUAUUACUGAAUCAAGGAAAUAUUGUAGGAGUAAGAACUGGGGAAAGUAGUGGCUGCACCCACCCUCGGUGCACCCACGGUGCACUCACGCAAGAAAACAUAUCAGAACAUUUCGAAAAAAUCUGAAACUUCGUGGAGAUGAUCAUCAACAAAUGUCACGAGGGCUUGCAAAGUUUGGUGGUCAAAUAACAUUCAAGAAGCGCUCUACAAAAAAGACAAAAUUGCAAAAUCUGCUCAAACGGUGCACGUACAUUUUGACUAAUUUUCAGUGAUUUUGUCUUUUUUGUAGAGAGCUCCUCGAAUGUUAUUUGACCACCAAAUUUUGCAAGCCCCCAUAACAUUUGUUGAUGAUCAUUUCCACGAAGUUUCAGAUUUUUUCAAAAUGUUUUGAUAUGUUUUCUUGCGUGGGUGCACCGUGGGUGCACCGGGAGUGGGUGUAGAAGAACCACUCUCGUAAGAACUGGAAUGGGGAAAAACUGGAGCGCUUUAUCCAGCCUCCUCUCUAUAUUCUACAUGGAUAUCGUCUGUUACAUCUUAGCCCCCAACUGUUACAUGUUCACACAUUUAUAUAACUCAACAGGAUAUAAUAGUUUUGAGCUAAACAAAUUUACUAUUGUACUCAUGUCUUGCAUAGUUAAAGUUGAAAAUCAACGUAAGUAGUGGAUAGUUUGAAAGACAAGUGUGGGAAACAAAUAGUAGGAUAUAAAUUUGAGUAGAAUGUGUGAUCAAUUGUUGACCACAUAGCCCAGCAAACUACUAAAACUAAGAAAAACAAGAUAUUCUACCUUGUACAAACUGUCACAUUGAUAAAACUAUGAUUUGUUUUUGAAAAAUCUGUAGCCCGGAACUAAUAUAAAUUCAAACAAAUCUGUCACAGAUCCCUGAGCCCAUCCAAAAAUUAAUGGUAGUGGAAACUGAAAGAACUAUUAACACGAUUAGACCCAAAUGAUCUAUGUUCCAACAAUUAAUGAUAUUUGAAACUAAAACACGAGUGUUCUAUGUUCUACUACCUAUGUGUAUAAAUAUAAGACGUUUGGCGGUUUAAAAUGAACUGCCAAAAUGUCCUAUAUUAAGGAACAGCGGGUGUACCAAGUAUAUUCUAUGGUCCAAAUUUGUUCAUGUAAAGUGUAUCUUUAACUGAUGCCCUAAAAAAUAGCGGUGUAAUUAGCCGAGUAAAAGAUUUGUGGAGUAAAUUUACUCAACUAACUUUUGGCUGCACCUAACGGAUCUCCUAAAUUUAGCAGAAGUAAUAUUUUCUUGUCACAUUCAUUUCAUUUUCAGCCACUGAAAUAUAUCGGAAUACACAAUUAACAAAUUCUUCAUGAAAAAAAUGAAACCAAAAAAACUAAAACCACAAUUAGACACUUUAAUAGAAAUUCAACUUCCAUAACUGCUGCUGAAAGUUGGUAAACAGAUUUCAGACUUAGUGAAAUUAACGCUUGUCUGGAAUUUCAGAUCAGAUAGCACUCUUUGGAGCAUGAAAACAAUAUGCUACAGGACCUGAACAUGACAAAGUAAAGCAUGGCAUGGAGCUACUCAAAGAGCUUAACAAAAGUCCCUUAGUGACCUUGAUCCAAAAUGGAUUAGAAAAUACAUUUGCAAGCAUGUGAACAUGGCAAAAACAUAAUCAGUUCUCAGACUUAGUGAAAACUGGAGCAUGCUAAAACAGAUAUCAAGUAAGCAUGUUUACGAGCUUGAUGCACUCACUACAGAGCAAGUCAUGACAAUCUAAGCAUACACACAUCAAGAAUACACAAAAUAAAAGCUAGACAUGGCACGAACAAUAACAUAGCAUGCACGGAUCAACUACAACAUCAUCGGCAAAAUUGCUAACAAGUAGACAAUCUGCCCAGAUUCACGAAAUAGCAAAAGUAGAGCUCGAUUGACUCAAUCUAGGGUGCUCCAUAAUUUCAAACAAAGACAUAUAUGGAUAGAGCACUACAAGAUUAACAAAACAUCUUUACUGAUCAUCCUCAAAAGAGGCACGGAUCACUAGGAAUCAACAUGAACAUAUGGCAUAUUGAGAUAACCAGCCAAGGACUUAGUGGAAAUGCCAAGUCCCUGAAAUCAGCAUUAACGAAUGCUCCACUUUGCAAGCUUGUGCUAGUCACCACACACAUCACAAAAAUACAUGGGUUGCACCUCUGGAUAGAUGGCAAAACAUGUAACAAAACUCAUGUAGAGCUCAGGGGCAUAUCAUGCACACAAUAAUCAUGGCAAAAAUGACAAAUAUCUAAUUGGAGCAUCAGAUCUGACAAUUAUCUCAAAUAGCACUCUUUCAACAGCAUUUCGGGCAUCAAGAUUAACUCAAAUGAAAAUGAUGCAAUGAGAUGAAAUGAUGUACUCUCUGAGAUGAACAUUUUGAUAUGCUAUAUGCCCAAAACGGAGCUACAUAUGCGGAGAUAUAGCAUGAUGAAAAACGCACAAAACUAGGGUUAGGGACGAAAAAGUCAACCAAGAGGGAGUUUCCAGAUCCAGAUCGGGAUCUCACGAGUACUGUAGCGGCACGGAGUACGAGGUUCGUCGCUGGAUUUGGGCCGGCCGGAGUUGGACGGCGAGGCGGCCGGAGAGAGGGAGGCGCCGGAGUGGGGCGGCACCGGCCGGUGAGGAGGAGGCGGCCGCGGUCGUCGACGAGGUAGCGCGGCGGGGUGGCGACCGGAGCGGCACGGUCGCCGGCGAGGUUGAGCUGCGGCGCGGUGGCAUGGAUCGCCGGAGACGGAGGAGAGGGGCGGCGCGGUGAGCCGGAGAGGAGGCGGGGCGGAGCGGGCCGCGGGGGCCGUGGUUGGGCCCGGCGGGCUUCUGCGAUGUGGGGUGCGCCGGCGCAAUGUGGCGGAGCGCGGUAGGUCGGGCGGCAGCGGGCGGACAUGUCCGGUCCGCUCCGGANNNNNNNNNNNNNNNNNNNNNNNNNNNNNNNNNNNNNNNNNNNNNNNNNNNNNNNNNNNNNNNNNNNNNNNNNNNNNNNNNNNNNNNNNNNNNNNNNNNNNNNNNNNNNNNNNNNNNNNNNNNNNNNNNNNNNNNNNNNNNNNNNNNNNNNNNNNNNNNNNNNNNNNNNNNNNNNNNNNNNNNNNNNNNNNNNNNNNNNNNNNNNNNNNNNNNNNNNNNNNNNNNNNNNNNNNNNNNNNNNNNNNNNNNNNNNNNNNNNNNNNNNNNNNNNNNNNNNNNNNNNNNNNNNNNNNNNNNNNNNNNNNNNNNNNNNNNNNNNNNNNNNNNNNNNNNNNNNNNNNNNNNNNNNNNNNNNNNGAGCUAGGAAGCUCCAAAUGGAGUCCGGUUUUCGGCCAUGCGAUUGUGAUUGAACGCUCUAGAUGAUGGAGAAGGUUUUGGUGGGUUUUGGGCCAAAAUGGAGAGGUGUUGGGUUGCAACACACCCGAGGCCUUUUCAGUCCCUCGGUUAACCGUUGGAGCAUCAAACGAAGUCCAAAUGGUACGAAACUUGACAGGCGGCCUACCGGUAGUAAACCAAGGCCGCUUGGCAAGUCUCGGUCCAAUCCGGAAAUGUUUAAUCCCCACACACGAAAGAAAGGUAGAAAUGACCACCGGAGGAGAACGGAGCGCCGGAAUGCAAAACGGACAACGGGGAAAAUGCUCGAAUGCAUGAGAUGAACACGUAUGCAAAUGCAGUGCACAUGACGACAUGAUAUGAGAUGCAUGACAACGAUAACAACACACGGAGACAAAGACCCGAACCCGAGAAAAUAAAAUAACUUAACGCCGGAAACGACAAGAGUUGGAGUACAUAUUGGGAAAAUCAUAUCCGGGGUGUUACAGUUUUCCUCUCCUCCACUUCACCCUUGCCGUUUUAUUCGCCCUCUCUCUCUAUCCUCCCUCUCUUUCUCUAUUUGCCUCUUUUUGCCCGUUUCUCGUUUGCUUCUGUGUUGGAUUGCUUGCUUGUCAUGAUGGCUCAAGAUAACAUUAAAUUGUGUGACUUUACCAAUACCAACAACAAUGAUUUUAUUAGCACUCUGAUUUCUCCUCUUACCGAUGCUGAAUCUUGUGAAAUUAAUGCUGCCUUGCUGAAUCUUGUCAUGAAAGAUCCAUUUUCCGGCCUUCCUAGUGAAGAUGCUGCUACCCAUCUAAAUAGCUUCGUUGAUUUGUGUGAUAUGCAAAAGAAGAAAGAUGUGGAUAAUGAUAUUGUUAAAUUGAAGCUAUUUCCUUUUUCUCUUAGAGUUCGUGCUAAAGCUUUGUUUUCGUCUUUGCCUAAAAUAGUUUUGAUUCGUGGAAUAAGUGCAAAGAUGCUUUUAUCUCUAAGUAUUUUCCUCCCGCUAAGAUCAUCUCUCUUAGAAACAAUAUUAUGAAUUUUAAGCAACUUGAUCAUGAACAUGUUGCACAAGCUUGGGAGAGGAUGAAAUUAAUGAUACGUAAUUGCCCAACACAUGGUUUGAAUUUGUGGAUGAUUAUACAAAAAAUUUACGCUGGAUUGAAUUUUUCUUAUAGAAAUCUUUUAGAUUCGGCCGCGGGAGGCACUUUUAUGGAAAUCACUUUAGGAGAAGCUACUAAACUCCUAGAUAAUAUUAUGGUUAAUUAUUCUUAAUGGCACACUGAAAGAUCUACUAAUAAAAAAGUGCAUGUGAUAGAAGAAAUUAAUGUUUUGAGUGGAAAGAUGGAUGACUUAUGAAAUUAUUUUUUAAUAAAAGUGUUUCUUCUGAUCCAAAUGAUACGCCUUUGUCUACUUUGAUUGAGAAUAAUAAUGAAUGUAAGGAUGUGAAUUUUGUUGGUAGGAACAAUUUUGGUAACAACGCGUAUAGAGAAAAUUUAAUCCUAGGCCUUAUCCUAGUAAUUCCUCUAAUAAUUAUGGUAAUUCCUACAACAAUUCUUAUGGAAAUUAUAAUAAUGCCCUCUGAUUUUGAAUAUAAUAUUAAAGAAUUUAUUAUUUCGCAAAAGAAUUUCAAUGCUUUGAUUGAAGAAAAUUUGCAUAAGACUGAUGAGUUGGCUAGGAACGUUGAUAGAAUUUCUCUUGAUGUUGAUUCUUUGAAACUUAGAUCUAUUCCACCUAAGCAUGAUAUCAAUGAGUAUCUCAAAACCAUGAGAAUUUGCAUUGAUGAGUGCAAAGAAAGAACCGCUAGGAUGCGUGCUAAGAAAGAUUCCUUUAUAAGAGCGUGUUCUUCUAGUUUCCAUGAUAAUAAAGAUGAAGAUCUAAAAGUUAUUGAUGUGUCCCCUAUUAAAUCUUUGUUUUGCAAUAUGAAUCUUGAUAAUGAUGGGACUGAAUAUGAUCCACCUUUACCUAGAAGGCGUUCCAAAAAUUCGGAGUUUUUAGAUCUUGAUGCUAAAAUUUAUAAAAGUGGGAUUAAAGAGAUCAAAACUCUAGAUACUAAUGAACCUACUAUUCGGAGUUUUUAUUGUAUUUCCUUGUUGCAAUCCGUGUUAAAUUCUCCUCAUGCUUAUAGUCAAAAUAAAGCUUUUACCAAACAGUUAUCAUGAACAACUUCAACUAAAUGCAUCAAAUGUUACAAAUAAUACAUACAAACUUAGUUUAAUAAAUUAAUGAAUUAAAGCGAGAACAAACCUUCAAAUGUAAUUUAGAGUGAAUCAAUUAAGACCAUGUAAAGCUAUUACUAGUCCAAUAUUAAUUAAUAACUUGCACAUAAUUGCAACCAUUGACAUAAAAAGGGAAUAUGAUGAGUCAUGUAUUGAGAAUGUGUACAACAUUACUACCAUUGACAUAAAAGGAGAAUUUGAUGAGUCGUAUCAGCUUGUUCAUCUUACCAUUAUACUACACAACACUGCAAGCUAGUUUAAAAAAAAUAAGAGUACAGAAUGAACAUUAGAAUAGCCUGAUCUAUCUUUGACAACAUGCACAAGGAUACAAAUUUAGUCCCCCGCAAGCUAUGAAGAUUUGGUUUAUGUCUAACAACUUGUACAACAAGAUAAACUUAGAUCCAAAAGGAUUGCAAUCCAGAUAAUUGUUUGACAUGUAAAGUCGAUAAGAUGAGUCAGUGCCAAUUAUCAUGUUUUCGUCACUCUUAGAUGAUAUGUACAAUAAAAGGCAACUUUGAUGACCACUCCAAAAUUACAUUUGUAUGUAGUGCCACCAAACACAACACACCAAAUAAUCAGUUUGAUAAGCAUCAAAUCACUUUAAAAAAAUAAAAGCUAUAAUGAAAAGAAACCUAACCAUGGUAGCUAUAAAAAGGAUGCAAUAUGUAGACUCCAUACCAUCAUCCAUCCUUCACACAACUAGAGCACAAGUAUCAAAUCCAAUUAAGUAGUAGCCAACACAAAUCCACCAUGAAGACCUUAUUCAUCCUAACAAUCCUUGCGAUGGCAACAACUAUCGCCACCGCGAAUAUGCAGGUCGACCCCAGCGGCCAAGUACAAUGGCCACAACAACAACCAUUCCGCCAGCCCCAACAACCAUUCUACCAGCAACCACAACACACAUUUCCCCAACCCCAACAAACAUUCCCCCAUCAACCACAACAACAAUUUCCCCAGCCCCAGCAACCACAACAACAAUUUCCGCAGCCCCAGCAACCACAACAACCAUUUCCCCAGCCCCAACAAGCCCAACUACCAUUUCCCCAACAACCACAACAACCAUUCCCCCAGCCUCAACAACCCCAACAACCAUUUCCCCAGUCACAGCAACCACAACAACCUUUUCCCCAGCCCCAACAACCGCAACAAUCAUUCCCCCAGCAACAACAACCGUUGAUUCAGCCAUAUCUACAACAACAGAUGAACCCUUGCAAGAAUUACCUCUUACAACAAUGCAACCCUGUGUCAUUGGUGUCAUCCCUCGUGUCAAUGAUAUUGCCACGAAGUGAUUGCCAGGUGAUGCAGCAACAAUGUUGCCAACAACUAGCACAGAUUCCUCGCCAGCUCCAGUGUGCAGCCAUCCAUAGCGUCGUGCAUUCCAUCGUCAUGCAGCAAGAACAACAACAAGGCAUACAGAUCCUCCGGCCACUGUUUCAGCUCGUCCAAGGUCAGGGCAUCAUCCAACCUCAACAACCAGCUCAAUAUGAGGUGAUCAGGUCAUUGGUAUUGAGAACCCUUCCAAACAUGUGCAACGUGUAUGUCCGACCUGACUGCUCCACCAUCAACGCACCAUUUGCCAGCAUAGUCGCCGGCAUCAGUGGACAAUGAAAAAUGAAGAGUUAUGCUAAUAGGUAGAUGGAUCAUCGUUGCUUAGCUGAUGCACUAGUCUUUGUAGCGAUGAGGAAUAAAGUGGCGUGCACCAUCAUGUGUGACCCCGACCAGAGCUAGUUCAAGCUUCAGAAUAAAACACAAACAAAGUUCUUGUUUGCUAGCUUCGCUUUUCACUGUUCCAUUUACUUUUUAUUUUCAUGUUCGUUCCUAACCGCAAUCCUAGCCUUACACAUCAAUAGCUAGCUACUUCUGCUGGCAGGUUACUAUUUAAUCUAUCGAUUAAUGGUCGAUGUAUUAAUCCAGUUAAUAGGUUGAUUGAUAUAUUAGUUACUGCUCCCAAGCCGACCGAGCGCUAUCAGUUAGGGAUUUCCUGAACAUUGCACACAAUAAUAAUUCAAUGUAUUUCAAUGUCUAGAAGUGAAAGGGCCAUUUUAGCACCAAAACAAGAGGCUGAUUAGAAACCAUCCAUCACUCUAAAUGUUAAUCUGAAUAUUUUUGCAUUGGUGCGAUUUUGAGUUUGGUGGCACCGAAGCAUUCUUCAAAAGCAAAUUUUAGGGGACUCCAAAGAGGUGAAAAUCAAACCAAAGUUGCCACAUGGUAAAAGAUAAACCAUGCGGUGAGCAAGAGAAAAUAAUUAGUCACAAUAGCAAGAACCAAACACUUGAUAUGAUUUCGUGCAGAGAUGGAAACAAUUUAUAUAUGACAAACAAAGCAUAAGUUGCAUUAGUUUUAAUUGAUUGUAGAAAUUUCUUUUACCUGUAGAAUAACUCAGUUGUUAUCUCUUUAAACAUGCAUUGUGAUAUUGACUUGUCUCAAUCUAUGAACACAAAGCAAAUAUUGCAUUUGCGGUUAUGGUCUCCAAACAGAUGAGAAAUCAGUCUGUGUAGAAAGUUCCUUAGAAGGAUAUGUUCUGAAUCAAGGAAAUAUUGUAGGAGUAAGAACUGGGGAAAGUAGUGGCUGCACCCACUCUCGGUGCACCCAUGGUGCACUCACGCAAGAAAACAUAUCAAAACAUUUCGAAAAAAAUCUGAAACUUCGUGGAGAUGAUCAUCAACAAAUGUCAUGAGGGCUUGCAAAGUUUGGUGGUCAAAUAACAUUCGAGAAGCGCUCUACAAAAAAGACAAAAUUGCAAAAUAUGCUCAAAUAGUGCACAUACAUUUUGACUAAUUUUCAGUGAUUUUGUCUUUUUUGUAGAGAGCUCCUCGAAUGUUAUUUGACCACCAAAUUUUGCAAGCCCCCAUAACAUUUGUUGAUGAUCAUUUCCAUGAAGUUUCAGAUUUUUUCAAAAUGUUUUGAUAUGUUUUCUUGCGUGGAUGCACCGUGGGUGCACCGAGAGUGGGUGUAGAAGAACCACUCUCGUAAGAAACUGGAAUGGGGAAAAACUGGAGCGCCUUAUCCAGCCUCCUCUCUAUAUUCUACAUCGAUAUCGUCUGUUACAUCUUAGCCCCCAACUGUUACAUGUUCACACAUUUAUAUAACUCAACAGGAUAUAAUAGUUUUGAGCUAAACAAAUUUACUAUUGUACUCGUGUCUUGCAUAGUUAAAGUUGAAAAUCAACAUAAGCAGUGGAUAGUUUGAAAGACAAGUGUGGGAAACAAAUAGUAGGAUAUAAAUUUGAGUAGAAUGUGUGAUCAAUUGUUGACCACAUAGCCCAGCAAACUACUAAAACUAAGCAAAACAAGAUAUUCUACCUUGUACGAACUGUCACAAUGAUAAAACUAUGAUUUGUUUUUGAAAAAUCUGUAGCCCGGAACUAAUAUAAAUUCAAACAAAUCUGUCACAGAUCCCUGAGCCCAUCCAAAAAUUAAUGGUAGUGGAAACUGAAAGAAGUAUUAACCCGAUUAGACCCAAAUGAUCUAUGUUCCAACAAUUAAUGAUAGUUGAAACUAAAACACGAGUGGUCUAUGUUCUACUAGCUAUGUGUAUAAAUAUAAGACGUUUGACAGUUUAAAUUGAACUGCCAAAAUGUCCUAUAUUAAGGAACAGUGGGUGUACCAAGUAUAUUCUAUGGUCCAAAUUUGUUCAUGUAAAGUGUAUCUUUAACUGAUGCCCUAAAAAAAUAGCAGUGUAAUCAGCCGAGUAAAAGAUUUGUGGAGUAAAUUUACUCAACUAAGUUUUGGCUGCACCUAACCGAUCUCCUAAAUUUAGCGGAAGUAAUAUUUUUUGUCAAAUUCAUUUCAUUUUCAGCCACCGAAAUAUAUCGGAAUACACAAUUCACAAAUUCUUCAUGAAAAAAUGAAACCAAAAAAACUAAAACCACAAUUAGACACUUUAAUAGAAAUUCAACUUCCAUAACUGCUGCUGAAAGUUGGUAAACAGAUUUCAGACUUAGUGAAAUUAACGCUUGUCUGGAAUUUCAGAUCAGAUAGCACUCUUUGGAGCAUGAAAACAAUAUGCUACAGGACCUGAACAUGACAAAGUAAAGCAUGCCAUGGAGCUACUCAAAGAGCUUAACAAAAGUCCCUUAGUGACCUUAAGCCAAAAGGGAUCAGAAAAUACAUUUGCAAGCAUGUGAACAUGGCAAAAACAUAAUCAAUUUUCAGAGCUGCCUGCCACCUUGGCAUUGCCCAACAACCAUUUUCGCAGCCAGUUCCACAGCAACCACAACUAGUCCUGAAGCGGCCACAAGAAUCUUUUCCAAAACAGCCUCAAGAAACCUUCCAUCCAUCACUUCAUCAAAAGUUGACCCCGUGCAAAGUGUUCAUCCAACAGUUGCACAUCAUGGUGGCAACACCACCAUUCCUUGAAUCACGGGUGUUGACGAAAAGCGGCUGCGAAGUGAGGCAGCAGCAAUGCUGCCAACAACUCACCCGGAUCCCUAUGCCAUCCCGAUGCCAAGCCAUAUGUGGCCUAGUGCACACCAUCAUCAUCGAGAAGCAACAAGAGCAACGGCAACAACGACCACAACUAGGACACGGUUCCCCCCAGCGUCAGUAGGAACGACUAGUCCAGUUUGAGGCUACGAUGAGCACCGCGCUUCAAACCCUGCCUACAAUGUGCGACGUGCGCGUGAUGCCAUGUUGCAUCGUGGCCACCAGCACCACCAUCCCGCCAGCCGGCGAUAUCAGCGAGUGAUAAGAAGAGAAAGGUUGUGGUACAAUAUAUAUGUAGCACCGACCAAGCCGAUGGAUCAAUCCUCUAGAGCUGAUACGAAUGAACGCAUUGAAAUGCACCUGUCAUGUACUCCCUCUGUUCCAAAAUAGAUGACCCAAUUUUAUACUAAUUUUUUACUAAAGUUAGUACAAAGUUGAGUCAUCUAUUUCGGAACGGAGGGAGUAUGACCCUUUCCACAAAAUGAGCUCAUUAAUUAUAUGUCCACGAUAAACACGCAAUACAUCACUCGAUGGCUCAGAUGGACGGCCAAACUUCAUAGAAGGUUUAACCAUGGGUAUCUCAAUCUCACCCCUGUUUUAACCCAGGGACCUGGGUAAGCAAAUAGGAUGAACUAGAAGGACUCGAAUCAAUAGUUCCACGGGCAUCAGGGGAGUGAGGAAGCAGAAUAAAAAGCUCAUCCUUUUGGUUAUCUGCAGAGAGUCUUCCGUCCCCUCCAACAAACCUUCUCCUCACCCUCCAAUGGCGGCCGCGACCUCCUCCUUCGCCACGCUCGUGAGCUCCCUCCCCUCCUCCUCCUCCCCCCUUCUGCUCGGACCCGCCUGGUCUCCCUCCUCCUCCUCCGCCUGAAUCUUGUGCUGUGUGUGCUGUUCUUUCUUGCAGGCCAUCGCCCGCCCGGCGGCGGCGGGGCCGGCGGCGCAGAGGGCGCUCCUCGCCUCGAAGGCCCCCUCGUCGGCGCUCUCCCUCCGCGGCGGCCGCAUCGCGUCCCCGGCCCUCUCCGUCUCCCAGCAGAGCCGCGCGCGCUUCGUCCCCUCCGCCACCGCCGAACCCUAUGUAAAGAUUCAGCAUUUAUUUAUCUAUUUAUCUAUCUGGCCACAAGGGCCGCAAUCUAUGUGGAGCUUGCAUAUCUAUUACCAAAUUGCAAUCUAGUAGACGUGUAUCCUUUGCCUUCCGAUGCGAACAUCCACACAAUUUGGUAUAUUCAUGAGAAAAAUUAGUUCACUCCCCGAGUUUUCGUGUGAAGAAAUGCAAGUUGAGAUUUACCAUCAGUUACUUCCUUCUGUAAUAAACAUUAGGCUCUGUGCACGACGGGCAUGCCAUGUGUUUAUGUUAGUCCAUUAGGUUCAGUUAGUGUUAGUCGUCAGUGGUCUGAGGAAUCAAAUGUGCAGCUAUUUCUAUCUAGAUACUGUGGCCGCUACCUGUGUAAAGCCUGCGUAUCUGGCGCACCGCUCCUGGUUCAGCCAGGAAGCCCAUUGCAGUCUAGUAGACAUGUAGUGUGUGCCUUCGGAUGUGACUUCCAUGCCAUUCCUUAUGUUAUUUGGUAUCUGUAAUUUUCAUGCGAAAAAUCAGGUCACUAACUGAAAUUUUUUGUGUGCGUGGACAAAUUUGCAAGUUGAGGUUUUAUCAUCACUUACUUAUGAUAACCGCCGGGUUAUGCCAGUGUUAGAUGCAGAGUACCAUCAGCAUGUGUUAGUGUUUAGUUUAUUAUGUCCAGUUACUGUUAGUUGCCGGCCGUCUAAGGGAAUAAAUGUGCCACUGUAUGGUUUACACAAUAUGCCAUUUUUGUGGUUGCAUUGGUGGGUGUCUUUUACCUUAUUAUAUGUCAUACAUUUCAUGGUGUUUGAAGCUGUUCUUUCAUCAUGCAUUGCAGGCACCUGAGCUUCAGUCCAAAGUUACAAACAAGGUGUACUUUGACAUAAGCAUUGGCAACCCUGUCGGGAAGAACGUUGGGAGGAUUGUCAUCGGGCUGUAUGGGGAUGAUGUUCCCCAAACCGUUGAGAACUUCCGUGCUCUCUGCACUGGUACGAGAGACUGUUGGAGCCCUCUUCUGUUAUCCCAUCUGUAAAGGAUUGCUCUGAUGAGGUAUAUGACCAAUUUCUCCUUUUUGUACCAGGGGAGAAAGGGUUCGGAUACAAGGGAUCAAGUUUCCACCGUGUCAUUAAGGACUUCAUGAUUCAGGGGGGAGACUUUGACAAGGGCAACGUAUGCGUUUCCUACCUUCAUCUAUUCUUGUUUGUUGCACGUGCAUGCUUAUGCUGUAUUGCGAUUGCAUUAAGAAAAACUAAAGAGUGUACUACCUGUUUUGCACGUAAUCGUUUCGCACGAAUGUACCUGUUUCUGUUUGUUGAUAGUUAUGCUAGUUCUUCCUCUCCUUUUCUUCUGAAUUGUAUAGUUUAGCUAUUUGAGUACUCUGUGCUGUUUAAGCAUUAUUUUACGGACCAGAGGGACUGGGGGAGAAGGAUAGGGAGUUUAAAUCCUUUACUACUAGCUUUGCUCGUGUACCGGCAUUCAAUUUGUUAUCGUGCUGCAUUUUGAUCCUGGAUCUUAUCCAUGUUUGAUUGUCAUUAAUAACUUGCACAAGUGCAUCCUACUCUGUUUUGUUGUCAGUGGCCUUGUGGUAAGAAUUCAAGGUGAUUGCCAUCGCGCCAUCCUUUCCCAUAUUGAGGCAUACAUGAUUAUGUGUUUCAUCUGCAUUUUGAUCUACUUAUGCAUGGCUGGCUGAAGUACUUUGAGACAUCAGAUUGCCUAAAAUGAAACAUGCAGCUUCCAACAAUGGCAUUGAAUAACUAGAAACUGAUAUUUUUCAGGGUACUGGAGGGAAAAGCAUAUAUGGCCGCACCUUUAAGGAUGAGAACUUCCAAUGUAUGUGUUGCAAUGAACCUUUGUCACUCAAUCUUUGCUUCAGAUUAUAUGCUAACUGAUUAUAUAUUAUUUAAUGUUCUUAGUGGUUCAUACUGGACCUGGAGUGCUCAGCAUGGCGAAUGCUGGACCGAACACCAACGGCAGCCAAUUCUUCAUCUGCACAGUCAAGGUAAUUAAUUGUUUACUUCCUGCUAUCAGUCAGUCCAUUUGAAUAAUAGUACCCUUUUUCCAUUGCUAAGUUUGAAGUUCAUAUAAAUCCCCGAUUGAGGUUUCUCCUACCUUGCUUGCAGACACCGUGGCUGGACGGGAGACACGUUGUCUUUGGCCAGGUUCUUGAAGGCAUGGACAUCGUAAGGACGAUAGAGUCAUCAGAGACCGACAGAGGUGACCGUCCGAAGAAGAAGGUGGUCAUUAGUGAGUGCGGGGAGCUUCCAGUGGUCUGAGUUUUAUUUAGAUGGCUAUCACCUUCCAUCUGCGCAUCUUGAUUUUGCUGUGGACUUGUUACUUGUCUUUCUCCAAGUAGUUAGAGACCGCACUGAGUUGAACUCGAGAUUUCUACUCUGAGGCAUACGGCAUUCAUCAACUGUUCGACUGGAAUAAGAAUGUGAUUGCUUUCCUGAACCUGUUUUGUAGCAUUGCUCAUGGUAGAUAAUGCCUUGUGAAUUUUUUGGCGGAUCCAUGAAAUGCCUAGAUAUCUCUAUCUAUUCGUUUUUAUCUGCUAAAUUUCCCUGAAGAGCUGCAAACAAAUUAUGCCAUGUAAAGGCUCGGUAUCAUUCCUGGCAAUUCCAGUUCCGACACUUGUCAUGAGCAAAAUUUAGCAAACACAACCUGCUGAUUAUCUGAAUGAUUCGCGCAACAAUACAAACUUAGUUUGGCAGACCAACAGAAUAUUGAUCAAAGCUUCACAUGUGUACUGUAAAGCCUUUGACAUGUAAAGGGAAUUUGAUGAAUCAUGUCAUGCUCCACUUCUGCAAGUCACACUGUACUAUAAAGUCUUGUGUAUCGUUACAGGCCACACAAGACUACAAACUUAGUUCAAUGCAAGGCAUGCUAGUCUGGUUUAUGCGUACAAACUAGUUUCAGAGACUCCGAUGCAAUCUAGAUUGAUGUUUGACAUGUAAAGUGAAUAACAUGAGUUAUGCCAAUCUUCUAUAUCUAAAUAGCUAGCCCCCAUUAACUAUUUCUCUCAACAUGCAAGCAUGCCACAUCAUACGCACAACAUGCAUGAGAAGAGCCUCACCUCCACUAUCAUAUGUCUCUCAACAUGCAAGCAUGUCACUUCAUCAUGAAACAUGCAUCAUAACAUGCAAAAAUACAUGAGAAUUUUAUUAUAUCAUGCUAUUUAUAUUUAAUAAACAUUUUACAACAAAUAUUCAUGUUUCAAACGACGAAUCAAAUAGAAAUAUGUUGCAAAGUAUUCCCACAACAACGUGCGGGAUAUCAUCUAGUUUAUAAAGCUUUGGUGGCAGUGGAGUGAUAUGUGCAACAACAAAGAACUUUGAUGAGAAAUCCAAGAAUACACUUAUAAGUAGUGUCCCCAAACACAACAUACGAAAUGAUGAGUUGAGAAGCAUCCCCGCACUUUCCAAGAAAAGUAAUUGCAAAGAUGAAAACAAACAAUGCCAUGGUAGCUAUAAAUAGGCAUACACCAUCAAGAUCCUCCAUCAUCCACCAUUCACAUUAGAGAACAAACAUCAAAGCCAAGCAAACAAUAUCCAACAUAAAUCAACUAUGAAGAUCUUCCUUGCGCUUGCCUUUCUUGCUGCUAUGGCUACCAACGCCAUAGUCACCACUGAUAUGAAACUACCCCAGUUGCAACCACAAAAAUCAUUUUCACAACAACAACCCUUUCCACAACCACAACUACUCUUUCGAGAGGAGCAAUCAGCUCCACAACAAUAGCCAUUUCCACCACAACAGUUACCAUUUGGGCAACAACAAUUUCCACAACCACCACCCUAUCCCCCACCGCAACAACCACUCUAUCCCCAACCACAACAACAACCAUUCCCACAGCAACAUGAACAACCAGCUCAGGAACAACCAUUUGUACAACAAUUGAACCCCAUGUAGGGAUGUAUUCCUACAACAGUGUAAUCCUGUGACAACUUUAUCAUUUCUCCAGUCACAGGUGGUGCAACAAAGCAGAUGUCAGGUGUUAAGGAAGCAAUGUUGUCAGCAACUGUCACGUAUUCCCAAGCGAUCACAGUGACAUGCCAUCCACAAUGUUGUGCACGCCAUUAUUUUGCAACAACAACAACAAUUGGGAGAAGGUACUUUGGUCCAACCUCAACAACAACUACUAGGUCGAGGUUCCAUCCAACCUCAACAACAUCAGUUGAAUCAGGGUUGGAUCGACACAAUAAGGACAUGGGUGCUUCAGACCCUACCGACAAUGUGCGACAUCCACGUCACACUGUACUGCUCUAUCACCUCAUCAGCAUAGCAACGUCACUAUAUAUACUAGCAUGAGUGGCUAAUGAGAAGACAAGAGAUCUCAUACUCGAUAGAUGGACUACCGUUGUUAGUCGAUGGUCCUAUCCAUGCAGCGCCGAAAAAUGAAUAAAAGAAAAAGAUAUAUAUUCUUUGAUGCAUAUAGAUUAUCUAUUGGUGUUCCGUUCAUGAACAUGUUGAGUUGUUCGUCCAAAAAACAAUAUAUGCAUUAAUUAGCUUUCUAUGUAGCACAUUUGUAAAAAUUGAACUGAGCCGAAUCUCUAUUAAGGUAAUUAUUUAAGGAGUAAGGAUUAACAAGAAACUAACUCUUUAAUGGCAAGCAUUAUGGGUUUUGACCUUCAAUUGGUCCAUGUAAGAUUUCUUUUGAAUGUUGGCGGGAGAGAUGCCAAUCCAUUGAUUAGAAAGGGAUAUUACCGGUAACACCCCCAAAGGAGGAAUGCACCACAUAAGGCAAGUGUCAAACAAAUAAGAAAUGAAAAAGGUCUGCUUGAGUAAUCAAGGAAAGCUAGGAGAAAACCUAAACAAGACCUAGCUAGACUAGACCUAAAGCUGCACAAAACAUACAACAUGCCAGAAAGCUAACACCCCAAAACAUACAUGGCUGAUCACUCAAGCGCCUUCUCUGCUACCAGAGAGCACACCAAAACCGCUGUAUCAAUAUGGGAUCCCAUAGUUACCAUAUCGAUGAAGCUUGAUGAUAUCGAAGAGGAACACUAUGUCCGAUAGAGCAGACAUAUGCCACUUCAAUCCCGUGAGGUUGGCGAACAUAGUUCGCCUGACUGACCUUGCAUGUGGAGGUCACGCAAGCUGCCGCGGACCACUUCCACGAGUCUUGAGUCCAUCCUGCCGAGUCUAACGAUCCAAGACAAUGCCCGAAGAGGAAACACGGUGCCAUGCAAAGCCAGAAGCGUUGUCAUCGUCCCAUCCAGGAGAUCAGAUCUAGGUUUUCCCUCGCAGUAUGCUAGGAGAUGGGGGAGGACAUCAACAUCAAUGCCUCCAACAAGGGAACGAUGCCCGUAGGCACCACUAUCGAUGACUAUGACUAUAACCAGAGUAUGGCUUUUGCUGGUAGCCUAACCCUCCCAAACCCAAAACCCCGAGAACCUAUCCAGCCUAGAACCUCCAUGACACGUGGUAGGACAUGAGGCCUCAGACUUGUGACACAUGAAGGACCCCUUCGUCGUAGGCCCGCAGAAAUCCAGACCGGGUCUUGGAGUUGGCAGACCUCAUGCCUUAGGCAGAUCCGGAGCACCGCAGGAACCUCCCUGUGCAGAUCAUCUCUAUGCUCACACUAGAGACGGCGAGAACCGACCGCCUGCCCUUUGGGCAGCCGAUCGAAACCACAAGGCCAUCGGAGUCCUCACGCCGCCACCCAUCAGAUCCGCGUUGGGAGCGCCGACCACGCGCCUCUACACGAUGAUACGAUCCCCACAACCAUAGCUCAUGACACCACUUAUUAUAAACUAUGUAGUAGUUCAUUGCAGAAAACUAGACGGGACACACGAUGUUUUCUUAACAAGGUUCAACAUCGUGGUUAAUCCCCAUGGCAUGAUUACGGGCGCACCUCCCCAUGUACCAUCACAUAUACAAGUUGACGAUAAGCCCAGACAGCACUCCAACCACCUUUGCCAUGCACCCCUGCCAAGUGUGCGAACCGUCCCUCUCGUGAUCUCUGUCAUAGCGUAACUUAUGCCUAGUAUAUUUUGGCUAUGUGUGGUAUCUUAUAUAAUAGUACUCGGUUACACGUGUCUAACUGAAACACCUAAUGCUCCACAUACUCCAAGUCUAAUAGUAGCCCAAUACACAUAUUCGACACAAUUUUAAAAGAUGCCCAAUUGUUGGCCAGCAAGCUUCCCUCGGUCUCAGUAUCAUGGUGGACACCAUGGCCACUGCUGAAUGUUGUGCCCAGCAAGUCAAGGAUACAAUAGUGUUGAAGGCAUGGCCUAUGCACCUGCCUAUUAUUACAACAAACCCAAAGAAGAAAACAACACUUAAUUAGCAGAGGACAUGAUUAAUCUAACAUUCCUUAACAUGUUUUUUUUGCUUUGUUCAUGAUAGAUAAUGCCUUGUGAAUUUUCUUGCGGAUUGAUGAAAUGUUUGGAUAUAUCUAUUCAUACUAAUAUCUGCUAAAUUGUACUAUAAUUUCCCUCAAGAAAUGCAAAAAAAAAAUGUGGACGCACAUGCUUUGCAAAUGCUCUGUAUCAUUCCUAGUCCCAACACUUGUCAUGAACAAUCUUGAACAAAUUCAGCAAACAAUACUUGAUUAUCUUAACGAUAUGCACAACACUACAGACUUAGUUUGACAAACUGACGGAAUCUUGAAGAAACCUUCAUAUGUACCUACGUGUAAAUCCUUAUACUAAUCCUGUACAACAUUACAAUCCUUGACAUGUAAAGGAAUUCGAUGAAAUGAUGUCAUCGUCUACUUUUGCAAGUUACUAUACUAGUCUUAUGUAUCUUUGCAGGCCACACAAGAUUACAAACUUAGUUUGGUGCAAGACAAGCUAAUCUAGUUUAUGUGUAACAACUUGUAGAAUAUAACAAACCCAGUUUUAGAAAAUGUUGCAAUCCGGAUCGACGUUUGACAUGUAAAGUAAAUAAGAUGAGUUAUGUCAAUUAUCAAGAUUUGUUGAUAGAGGAAUGAUACAUGCAACAACAAAGAACUUCGAUGAUCAGUGCAAGUAUAUGCUUGUAAGCAGUUGCACCUAACGCAACAUACCAAAUGUUAGAGUCCGAGAAGCAUCCAUGCACUUUUAAGAAAAGGAAAUGCAAAGAUGAAAAAAGGUGAUGCCAUGUCAGUUAUAAAUAGGCCUAAACAAUCAAGACACUCCUCCAGCACCCACCAUUCACUCAACUGGAGAACAAACAUUAUCUAACACAAAUCAACCAUGAAGAAAUUCCUCGUCCUUGCCCUCAUUGUUGUCGCGGCGACCACCACGGCCGCCGAACCCUUUACUGCAUUCCGUACUGCUUGGGAGCCGCACCAUCCAUCAUCUCCAGAGCAGCAACCAACUCCACAGCCACAAGAACAACCAGUUCCACAUCAAAAGUUGAACCCAUGCAGGGAUGCCCUCCUACAACAGUGUAGCCCAGUUGCUGAUAUGUCGUUCCUCCGGUCACAGGUGGUGCAACAUAGCAGCUGCUUGGUAAUGUGGGAGCAGUGUUGUCAGCAACUAAAAGCGAUCCCCAAGCAGUCAAGAUGUGAGGCCAUCCACAACGUCGUGCACGCCAUCGUUUUGCAACAGCAACAACAAUUGGUACAAGGUAUUUCCACCCAACCUCAGCAGCAACAACAACAAGGUCAACAACAACAAGGUCAGGGUUCUAGCCAGCCACAACAACAAACACAACUGGAUCAGGGUUGGAUUGCGGUGAUAGG